GUUAUCCUCCCCAUUAUGGCUCAGUUGGUUAGAGCAGGGGACUGAUAACGCCUAAGUCACAGGUUUGAUCCCCAUACAGGAUAACU
Molecule: non-coding RNA, 86 nt
Organism: Podarcis lilfordi (Lilford's wall lizard)
Lineage: Eukaryota; Metazoa; Chordata; Lepidosauria; Squamata; Lacertidae
Source: the annotation of a GenBank genome assembly